UGAGGUAGUAGGUAGUAUAUUGG
RNAcentral lists this microRNA (23 nucleotides) under Gallus gallus (chicken). Its description in RNAcentral is "microRNA Ros-gga". The record is from RNAcentral. Lineage: Eukaryota; Metazoa; Chordata; Aves; Galliformes; Phasianidae.